Molecule: ribosomal RNA, 425 nt
Filed under: uncultured bacterium
Lineage: Bacteria
Description: partial 16S ribosomal RNA
Rfam family: Bacterial small subunit ribosomal RNA
Source: RNAcentral
GUGGGGAAUAUUGGACAAUGGGCGCAAGCCUGAUCCAGCCAUGCCGCGUGAGUGAUGAAGGCCUUCGGGUUGUAAAGCUCUUUAGCCGAUGAUUAUAAUGACUGUAGUCGGAAAAUAAGCCCCGGCUAACUUCGUGCCAGCAGCCGCGGUAAUACGAAGGGGGCGAGCGUUAUUCGGAAUCACUGGGCGUAAAGCGUGCGUAGGCGGCUUUGCAAGUUGGGAGUGAAAGCCCAGGGCUCAACCCUGGAAUUGCUCUCAAAACUGCAAGGCUCGAAUUCGGGAGAGGAUAGCGGAAUUGUCAGUGUAGCAGUGAAAUGCGUAGAUAUUGACAGGAACACCAGUAGCGUAAGCGGCUAUCUGGACCGAUAUUGACGCUGAGGCACGAAAGCGUGGGGAUCAAACAGGAUUAGAUACCCUAGUAGUCC